AUACGGAGGGUGCAAGCGUUAUUCGGAAUCACUGGGCGUAAAGGACGCGUAGGCGGGUUGGCAAGUCAGAUGUGAAAUCCUACAGCUUAACUGUAGAACUGCAUUUGAAACUGCUAACCUAGAGUAUGGGAGGGGGAGAUGGAAUUAGUGGUGUAGGGGUAAAAUCCGUAGAUAUCACUAGGAAUACCGAAAGCGAAGGCGAUCUCCUGGAACAUAACUGACGCUAAGGCGUGAAAGCGGGGGGAGCAAACAGGAUUAGAAACCCUAGUAGUCC
Molecule: ribosomal RNA, 274 nt
Filed under: uncultured bacterium
Lineage: Bacteria
Description: partial 16S ribosomal RNA
Rfam family: Bacterial small subunit ribosomal RNA
Source: RNAcentral